CUGGUUUUGCUCCCAUGUUUCACGUACGUACAUGCAUCAUGUGAAGAAGAAAGAUGGAACAUUAAAAUGGAGAGGACACAACA
RNAcentral lists this non-coding RNA (83 nucleotides) under Ditylum brightwellii. Lineage: Eukaryota; Bacillariophyta; Thalassiosirophyceae; Lithodesmiales; Lithodesmiaceae. The record is from RNAcentral.